This is a non-coding RNA of Acanthosepion pharaonis, 104 nucleotides long. Lineage: Eukaryota; Metazoa; Mollusca; Cephalopoda; Sepiida; Sepiidae. The record is from the annotation of a GenBank genome assembly.
AUCACGUUGAAACGUGAGUUCUCAUAUGAACACCGAAGUUAAUUAACGUCGAGCCUGGUCAGUACUUAGAUGGGUGACCGCUUGUGAAUAUCAGGUGCCGUAAG